Molecule: transfer RNA, 67 nt
Filed under: Marmota monax (woodchuck)
Lineage: Eukaryota; Metazoa; Chordata; Mammalia; Rodentia; Sciuridae
Description: tRNA.Ala
Source: RNAcentral
GGUUGUGGUUCAAUGGUAGAGUACUUGCCUAGCAUGUGUGAGGCACUGGGUUCAAUUCUCAGCACCA